Long non-coding RNA from Perognathus longimembris pacificus (Pacific pocket mouse), 150 nucleotides. RefSeq lists it as uncharacterized. The transcript is spliced from 3 exons. Lineage: Eukaryota; Metazoa; Chordata; Mammalia; Rodentia; Heteromyidae. The record is from RefSeq and is a predicted model, not a curated record.
CUCCCAUCUCAACCAACGCACUCGGUGUGGUGGGGCACACCUGAGGUCCCAUUUACACAGGAGUCAUAAGUAGGAGGAUCGCGGUCCAGGGCUUGUGAUAGCAAAACCAGAAACUCUGCAUGAAAAUUAACAAAAGCAAAAUGGGCCAGA